Molecule: unclassified non-coding RNA, 471 nt
Filed under: Leptinotarsa decemlineata (Colorado potato beetle)
Lineage: Eukaryota; Metazoa; Arthropoda; Insecta; Coleoptera; Chrysomelidae
Description: uncharacterized LOC111506886, transcript variant X2
Source: RNAcentral
CACUUGAAAUUUUCUUGACAUGAUAUAAAAUCUUUGGAGCACUAUUUAAUUUAAUUAAAAAUGGCCUUUCCCAAGUUAUUGGUUGUCGUUUCUGCUCUCCUACUUAUCCAGGUCGCUGCAACUAUUACGUACUACCUCGCAUCUGCAGAGAGGUAUUAUAAGGAACAAAUAUAUCAAUUCGAAGAGGAAUUUCACAAAUUAGCUCAUGAUGUUUAUCCAACGUGCAUCGUUCCUAAUGCUGAGAUUUACAGAGAAAAAUCAAUCAAACGUCUUCACAAUCUUGUUGCUUGUAUUAGGUCUUGAACUGAAAUUAGUGAGAUAUUGUAUCUUCAUUAUAAUCUUUCCAAAAAGUGGAUCUAGUUGGUCAGUGAAAUAUAUAGCAUCUUGAUUAAGAAAUAGAUUUAUAUUCUGAAUAACAUAUACAUUUUUCAAAUAGUGAUAAGUACUUUGAAUACAUUUAUGAAACAUCUA